This 73-nucleotide transfer RNA is filed under the name Bos taurus (domestic cattle). It matches the Rfam family "tRNA". Rfam says of the family: Transfer RNA (tRNA) molecules are approximately 80 nucleotides in length. Their secondary structure includes four short double-helical elements and three loops (D, anti-codon, and T loops). The record is from Rfam by way of RNAcentral. Lineage: Eukaryota; Metazoa; Chordata; Mammalia; Artiodactyla; Bovidae. RNAcentral also lists the same sequence under 5 other names.
UCCUUGGUGGUCUAGUGGUUAAGACUCCACACUUGCACUGCAGCGUGUGUGGGUUCAAUCCCUGUUUGGGGAA